Long non-coding RNA from Schistocerca gregaria, 1496 nucleotides. RefSeq lists it as uncharacterized. The record is from RefSeq and is a predicted model, not a curated record. The transcript is spliced from 4 exons. Lineage: Eukaryota; Metazoa; Arthropoda; Insecta; Orthoptera; Acrididae.
ACGGACUAGCAGUUAUCGAGUGGAUAUAGAAGUUAAUGGACAUGUUUCUCUUAGUGGAGACUUCAUGUUGGUAGGGCAAGCAUGCACUGUAAAGUGAGACGUAAGGAAAUGUAAAAUGAGGAUGGAUGUUAGUAAUGUUUAAUUUUUGUAACUGAAUAUCACAUGAAUAAGCUGGCUGUAGUUGCUGCUUGCUAUAACUGCUGUAGUUCGUGUUAUGAACAUUUUCUGUAAGAAUCUCCUAACACCUAUGACAGCACAGGCGUAAUGGAGGUUGUUUUUGCUGAUAAUACCAAGGAUAUGAAUCCCUGUUCAUAGAUGCCUGAAGUAAGCACGCCAUUGUUGACACAUUCAAGAGUUAAGAAACAUAAAACGCUUUCAUAAUAAGUCAUUAUAUGAUAGCACAUCAGUUGUCACAAAAUAAAUGUUGUAAUAUUCUAAAACCCCAUUUUUGUUCAUAAUUAAACAAUUAUGUAGUCAUUUACAAAUAGGUGGUGUGUGAUGCCUUGUGUGUAAGCUGAAUGCAGAUCAUAUGCCUGGAAUUAUAUUAAUUAAAUAUAGGCUAAAUUGUGUGCAACCCACUGAGCUGCAGUCAAGUGUGUGGCAAAUAAUACGAAAUGAAGGAAGAGUUGAGCACUUCAGAUUAAACAAUUUGUGCAUUACAAAAUAUGCAAAGAGCAUAGAAAGUAGUUCUAAUUUGUGUUUUCCUAUCUGAUGAGACUGGGUAUAAAAAGCCUCUAAAUGAUUUUAAGAAGCCCUUGGCAUCCUCAUUUUGAUUUAAAUGGAGGCUUUGUGAAUAGAGCUAACAUUGGUUCCACAAGCUUGCAGAUAUUUCCAAAUGAGACAACUGGUAAGCAAAUUAAUAUGUUACUCUCUUCACAGGUUUUAUCUGUAUUGUAAUGUAGUCUGAAAAUAUUGCAUUAAUUGUUGACCUCAUCCUCUCCCACACAAAUUUCACAUCAUUUGGAGAGGUGGAGGGGGAACCCAGAUGUUUGGUGUGUACAUACAUCGGCAGUGCUUAUAAUUACUUAUUAAGCUUGCCUCCUGUUUAAGGUAGAAUCUUCGUCAUUGCCUAUAGAGCUACAAAGAAAUAUGCUUGAACUCUUACAUAUUUCAAAGUAUAUUCUCCAUUCUAGUAUUUUAAACUGGGGUUACUUACACCAUUUCCUGGUAACUUUGACCCACUAGUGAGGAAAAAAUCUUUAAUUUUGUCCCAGGUGAAAGUUACUGUCCUUAUCUAAGAGAAAUCAGGGCAGCAGUCAUUCUCAGUGUGGAAAGAAUGAUCCUGAAGGAGGCGAGUUAACAUAUCUUCUUGGGAUAUUGGCAGCACUAUACCAAAUGUUGAUUGUAAAUAUUGUAAGAGCUAUUACCUCCCAAAAACUUCUGCCUGGGGAUUAGGAGAGUGUAAUUUUACUUUCUGUCAGUAUUAUUUAAUAGGGUGAGCAAAUGUCAUUUGUGUAAAAUACAGCUUAGUUAUGAUGUAAAUAAAAUAGAAAGAA